This 829-nucleotide ribosomal RNA is filed under the name uncultured archaeon. Its description in RNAcentral is "bacterial SSU rRNA". It matches the Rfam family "Archaeal small subunit ribosomal RNA", at positions 26 to 854 of the family's 1478-position model. The record is from RNAcentral.
AUUGCUAUUGGAGUCCGAUUUAGCCAUGCUAGUUGUACGAGUUUAGACUCGUAGCAGAUAGCUCAGUAACACGUGGCCAAACUACCCUCUGGAGCGCGACAACCUCGGGAAACUGAGGCUAAUCGUGCAUACCGCUCUCACGCUGGAAGUUGCGGAGAGCUCGAAACGCUCCGGCGCCAGAGGAUGUGGCUGCGGCCGAUUAGGUAGACGGUGGGGUAACGGCCCACCGUGCCAGUAAUCGGUACGGGUUGUGAGAGCAAGAGCCCGGAGACGGUAUCUGAGACAAGAUACCGGGCCCUACGGGGCGCAGCAGGCGCGAAACCUUUACACUGCACGCCAGUGCGAUAAGGGGACUCCAAGUGCGAGGGCAUAGAGCCCUCGCUUUUCACGACCGUAAGGAGGUCGUAGAAUAAGUGCUGGGCAAGACCGGUGCCAGCCGCCGCGGUAAUACCGGCAGCACGAGUGAUGGCCGCUCUUAUUGGGCCUAAAGCGUCCGUAGCUGGCCGCGCAAGUCCAUCGGGAAAUCCGCACGCUCAACGUGCGGGCGUCCGGUGGAAACUGCGUGGCUUGGGACCGGAAGAUCCAGAGGGUACGUCCGGGGUAGGAGUGAAAUCCUGUAAUCCUGGACGGACCACCGGUGGCGAAAGCGCUCUGGAAAGACGGAUCCGACGGUGAGGGACGAAAGCUCGGGUCACGAACCGGAUUAGAUACCCGGGUAGUCCGAGCUGUAAACGAUGUCUGCUAGGUGUGCCACAGGCUACGAGCCUGUGGUGUGCCGUAGGGAAGCCGUGAAGCAGACCGCCUGGGAAGUACGUCCGCAAGGAUGAAA